Molecule: long non-coding RNA, 760 nt
Filed under: Coffea arabica (coffee)
Lineage: Eukaryota; Viridiplantae; Streptophyta; Magnoliopsida; Gentianales; Rubiaceae
Description: long non-coding RNA (CARA_LNC007910)
Source: RNAcentral
AGAGAGAGUAUUUAGCCUGUUGACUUUGAUUUUAUAACUAGACAUACACUAAAAAUUGUUCGCCUUCAACUCCCCAUUUAUUUGCGGGACCAAAUGAAAAUGUUGAGGCAAAAGGUCAUUUGUCCAAAGACCCUUAUAAGGUUUGCCAAUUUCACCAAGUUGAAACCUCUUCAAUUUGACGGGAACAUAGACAAAGAUAACAAGAAACCCUUCAUUCAAAGGAAUCUAGGCUCUAAAUUCUUCAACUUAUUCAUGUCUUCUUUGAAACCUGAAACAGCAUGUUCUUGCAAACACACAGAAAGUUUACAACCAUCCUUUUCCCCUUCAUUUGCUGAAGAAUAGGGCAAAAAGAAACGGGGCUCAACGCUUCCAAGUAGGUUUCUUGACAGAGGAAAAACUGUAACAGGACCUCCCCAACCAAAGUCCACUGUGGAAUGGCCUAAGUGUCUCCAAUCAGUAAUUCCACUCACCUUUGCUCCUACUGUGGUCCCUUCAUGAUAAUUUAGCUCCUGAAAAUCGAUAAAUGAUCGAACAUAUUCAUCAGAUACAUUUAUUUGCUCUUGUUGAUCAAUUCUGCUGUUUUAUAUAUCGGUUGAUCGACAUGGUCUUCAGCCUUGGUCAGAAUUCCCCAGUAUCCUGCUGGUAGUGGUGGCUUGACUAGCUUUCUUAUGUUGAUUGCAUAUGCAAACUUCACUUUCUCAUCAGAAGGGAUAUGCAAACUUCACUUUCUCAUCAGAAGGGAUCCCAGAAGCCUUAACUC